CGGUAAUUCCAGCUCCAAUAGCGUAUACUAAAGUUGUUGCAGUUAAAAAGCUCGUAGUUGGAUUUCUGCGGGGACGGAGCGGCCGGUCGCAACUUGCGACUCGAGCUAGCGCUUUCCCCGCAUCCUGCCGCGAACCGUGCUACCAUUAGCUUGGUGGCGCUGGGGAUCGGCUCGAUUACUUUGAGAAAAAUAGAGUGUUCAAAGCAGGCCACACGCCUUGAAUAAGUUAGCAUGGAAUAAUGACUAAGGACUUCGGUUCUAUUUUGUUGGUGUUCGGGACUGAAGUAAUGAUUGAUAGGGACAGUUGGGGCGGUCUGUAUUCCAAAGCGAGAGGUGAAAUUCUUAGACCUUCGGAAGACAAACAGCUGCGAAAGCGUUCCACAAGGAUGUUCCCUUUGAUCAAGAACGAAAGUUGGGGGAUCGAAGACGAUCAGAUACCGUCGUAGUCUCAACUAUAAACUAUACCAGCUAGGGAUCGGUCAACGUUUAAUCAUUCGACUUGAUCGGCACCUUAUGAGAAAUCAAAGCAUCUGGGUUCCGGGGGGAGUAUGGUCGCAAGGCUGAAACUUAAAGGAAUUGACGGAAGGGCACCACCAGCCGUGGAGCCUGUGGCUUAAUUUGACUCAACACGGGAAAACUUACCAGGUCCAGACAUAGUAAGGAUUGACAGAUUGAUAGCUCUUUCUUGAUUCUGUGGGUGGUGGUGCAUGGCCGUUCUUAGUUGGUGGAGUGAUUUGUCUGGUUAAUUCCGUUAACGAACGAGACCCCAGCCUGCUAAAUAGCGCGGCUGAGCUUUGCUCGGUGCGAGCUUCUUAGAGGGACUAUGAUGCGCGAUAGCACAUGGAAGUUUGGGGCAAUAACAGGUCUGUGAUGCCCUUAGAUGUUCUGGGCCGCACACGGGCUACACUGGCGCCUGCAACGAGCAUAUCAGCUGGCCCGAGAGGGUCUUGGCUAAUCUUUUGAACCGGCGCCGUGCUUGGGAUUGACCAUUGCAAUUGUUGGUCAUGCAACGAGGAAUGCCUUGUAAACGCGAGUCAUCAGCUCGCAUUGAAUACGUCCCUGCCCUUUGUACACACCGCCC
RNAcentral lists this ribosomal RNA (1081 nucleotides) under uncultured Rhizaria. RNAcentral's name for it is "SSU rRNA". It matches the Rfam family "Eukaryotic small subunit ribosomal RNA", at positions 577 to 1674 of the family's 1831-position model. The record is from RNAcentral.